RNAcentral lists this ribosomal RNA (344 nucleotides) under Draculoides mesozeirus. RNAcentral's name for it is "partial 12S ribosomal RNA". Lineage: Eukaryota; Metazoa; Arthropoda; Arachnida; Schizomida; Hubbardiidae. The record is from RNAcentral.
UAUUACUUCCUUUUUACUCCCUAAUCCAUUAUUACAUUAAACAUUUCACUUAACUUAUUUUAUUUCAUAUUUCAAUAUAAAUGUAACUCAUCCAACCCUAUAAAAUUCUACAUUUUGACUUGAAUUCUUUAUUUAUUAAUAUUUUUCAUUUAUUUAUAAUAAUUAAUAAUAAAUUAAACAGCAAUACAUAAAAUAAUUAUAGAUAAAAUUUACUGUGUUGUAUCACUUUAAUUAAACAAGUUCCUCAGAAUUUAACUAAAUACCGCCAAUACUUUUAAAAUUAAUUAUGAAAAACAAAUAUAAUCUUAGUAAAACUAAUUUAAACCAAAUAAUAGGGUAUCUAA